This 74-nucleotide transfer RNA is filed under the name Sphingomonas sp. BE123. RNAcentral describes it as "tRNA-Lys". The record is from RNAcentral. Lineage: Bacteria; Pseudomonadati; Pseudomonadota; Alphaproteobacteria; Sphingomonadales; Sphingomonadaceae.
GGACAUUGAAAUUGCUUGAAUCCCGCUGACUCUUAAUCAGCGGGUCCUAGGUUCGAGCCCUAGUGCGUCCACCA